GCACCCCCAACUCUGAUUUAGACUUCCCUUGCAGGUCCCGACGGCGGCCGUGGUCGUCUCGACUCCAGCAACUCUGAUUUCGAUGGAAUUCUGCACCAACAGAAUUGACGCUAGAGGAAGGGGGCUAUCUUCACAGUACCCUUGUUCUUGAAGGAGUGCUCAACGAGAUUGCCUCCAGUCAUCUUCUUUGACAUCCUCCUCCCCUUUCCCUACU
This 214-nucleotide long non-coding RNA is filed under the name Elaeis guineensis (African oil palm). RNAcentral's name for it is "long non-coding RNA (EGUI_LNC077154)". The record is from RNAcentral. Lineage: Eukaryota; Viridiplantae; Streptophyta; Magnoliopsida; Arecales; Arecaceae.